GAUUAAGUUAUUAAGGGCGCACGGUGGAUGCCUUGGCACUAGAAGCCGAUGAAGGACGUUACUAACGACGAUAUGCUUUGGGGAGCUGUAAGUAAGCUUUGAUCCAGAGAUUUCCGAAUGGGGAAACCCAGCAUGAGUUAUGUCAUGUUAUCGAUAUGUGAAUACAUAGCAUAUCAGAAGGCACACCCGGAGAACUGAAACAUCUUAGUACCCGGAGGAAGAGAAAGAAAAUUCGAUUCCCUUAGUAGCGGCGAGCGAAACGGGAAGAGCCCAAACCAACAAGCUUGCUUGUUGGGGUUGUAGGACACUCUAUACGGAGUUACAAAGGACGACAUUAGACGAAUCAUCUGGAAAGAUGAAUCAAAGAAGGUAAUAAUCCUGUAGUCGAAAAUGUUGUCUCUCUUGAGUGGAUCCUGAGUACGACGGAGCACGUGAAAUUCCGUCGGAAUCUGGGAGGACCAUCUCCUAAGGCUAAAUACUCUCUAGUGACCGAUAGUGAACCAGUACCGUGAGGGAAAGGUGAAAAGCACCCCGGAAGGGGAGUGAAAUAGAACCUGAAACCGUGUGCUUACAAGUAGUCAAAGCCCGUUAAUGGGUGAUGGCGUGCCUUUUGUAGAAUGAACCGGCGAGUUACGAUUUGAUGCAAGGUUAAGCAGUAAAUGUGGAGCCGUAGCGAAAGCGAGUCUGAAUAGGGCGUUUAGUAUUUGGUCGUAGACCCGAAACCAGGUGAUCUACCCUUGGUCAGGUUGAAGUUCAGGUAACACUGAAUGGAGGACCGAACCGACUUACGUUGAAAAGUGAGCGGAUGAACUGAGGGUAGCGGAGAAAUUCCAAUCGAACCUGGAGAUAGCUGGUUCUCUCCGAAAUAGCUUUAGGGCUAGCCUCAAGUGAUGAUUAUUGGAGGUAGAGCACUGUUUGGACGAGGGGCCCCUCUCGGGUUACCGAAUUCAGACAAACUCCGAAUGCCAAUUAAUUUAACUUGGGAGUCAGAACAUGGGUGAUAAGGUCCGUGUUCGAAAGGGAAACAGCCCAGACCACCAGCUAAGGUCCCAAAAUAUAUGUUAAGUGGAAAAGGAUGUGGCGUUGCCCAGACAACUAGGAUGUUGGCUUAGAAGCAGCCAUCAUUUAAAGAGUGCGUAAUAGCUCACUAGUCGAGUGACACUGCGCCGAAAAUGUACCGGGGCUAAACAUAUUACCGAAGCUGUGGAUUGUCCUUUGGACAAUGGUAGGAGAGCGUUCUAAGGGCGUUGAAGCAUGAUCGUAAGGACAUGUGGAGCGCUUAGAAGUGAGAAUGCCGGUGUGAGUAGCGAAAGACGGGUGAGAAUCCCGUCCACCGAUUGACUAAGGUUUCCAGAGGAAGGCUCGUCCGCUCUGGGUUAGUCGGGCCCUAAGCUGAGGCCGACAGGCGUAGGCGAUGGAUAACAGGUUGAUAUUCCUGUACCACCUAUAAUCGUUUUAAUCGAUGGGGGGACGCAGUAGGAUAGGCGAAGCGUGCGAUUGGAUUGCACGUCUAAGCAGUAAGGCUGAGUAUUAGGCAAAUCCGGUACUCGUUAAGGCUGAGCUGUGAUGGGGAGAAGACAUUGUGUCUUCGAGUCGUUGAUUUCACACUGCCGAGAAAAGCCUCUAGAUAGAAAAUAGGUGCCCGUACCGCAAACCGACACAGGUAGUCAAGAUGAGAAUUCUAAGGUGAGCGAGCGAACUCUCGUUAAGGAACUCGGCAAAAUGACCCCGUAACUUCGGGAGAAGGGGUGCUCUUUAGGGUUAACGCCCAGAAGAGCCGCAGUGAAUAGGCCCAAGCGACUGUUUAUCAAAAACACAGGUCUCUGCUAAACCGUAAGGUGAUGUAUAGGGGCUGACGCCUGCCCGGUGCUGGAAGGUUAAGAGGAGUGGUUAGCUUCUGCGAAGCUACGAAUCGAAGCCCCAGUAAACGGCGGCCGUAACUAUAACGGUCCUAAGGUAGCGAAAUUCCUUGUCGGGUAAGUUCCGACCCGCACGAAAGGCGUAACGAUUUGGGCACUGUCUCAACGAGAGACUCGGUGAAAUCAUAGUACCUGUGAAGAUGCAGGUUACCCGCGACAGGACGGAAAGACCCCGUGGAGCUUUACUGUAGCCUGAUAUUGAAAUUCGGCACAGCUUGUACAGGAUAGGUAGGAGCCUUUGAAACGUGAGCGCUAGCUUACGUGGAGGCGCUGGUGGGAUACUACCCUAGCUGUGUUGGCUUUCUAACCCGCACCACUUAUCGUGGUGGGAGACAGUGUCAGGCGGGCAGUUUGACUGGGGCGGUCGCCUCCUAAAAGGUAACGGAGGCGCUCAAAGGUUCCCUCAGAAUGGUUGGAAAUCAUUCAUAGAGUGUAAAGGCAUAAGGGAGCUUGACUGCGAGACCUACAAGUCGAGCAGGGUCGAAAGACGGACUUAGUGAUCCGGUGGUUCCGCAUGGAAGGGCCAUCGCUCAACGGAUAAAAGCUACCCCGGGGAUAACAGGCUUAUCUCCCCCAAGAGUUCACAUCGACGGGGAGGUUUGGCACCUCGAUGUCGGCUCAUCGCAUCCUGGGGCUGUAGUCGGUCCCAAGGGUUGGGCUGUUCGCCCAUUAAAGCGGUACGCGAGCUGGGUUCAGAACGUCGUGAGACAGUUCGGUCCCUAUCCGUCGUGGGCGUAGGAAAUUUGAGAGGAGCUGUCCUUAGUACGAGAGGACCGGGAUGGACAUACCUCUGGUGUACCAGUUGUCGUGCCAACGGCAUAGCUGGGUAGCUAUGUGUGGACGGGAUAAGUGCUGAAAGCAUCUAAGCAUGAAGCCCCCCUCAAGAUGAGAUUUCCCAACUUCGGUUAUAAGAUCCCUCAAAGAUGAUGAGGUUAAUAGGUUCGAGGUGGAAGCAUGGUGACAUGUGGAGCUGACGAAUACUAAUCGAUCGAAGACUUAAUCAA
RNAcentral lists this ribosomal RNA (2923 nucleotides) under Staphylococcus aureus. Its description in RNAcentral is "23S ribosomal RNA". It matches the Rfam family "Bacterial large subunit ribosomal RNA". Lineage: Bacteria; Bacillati; Bacillota; Bacilli; Caryophanales; Staphylococcaceae. The record is from RNAcentral.